UGCAAUGUUCCUUCCAACCCAGCUUUGC
RNAcentral lists this non-coding RNA (28 nucleotides) under Rattus norvegicus (Norway rat). The record is from RNAcentral. Lineage: Eukaryota; Metazoa; Chordata; Mammalia; Rodentia; Muridae.